RNAcentral lists this ribosomal RNA (105 nucleotides) under Caerostris darwini. The record is from RNAcentral. Lineage: Eukaryota; Metazoa; Arthropoda; Arachnida; Araneae; Araneidae.
AUACCAUGCUGAAUAUACCGGUUCUCGUUCGAUCACCGAAGUUAAGCAUCAUUGGGCGCGGUCAGUACUUGGGUGGGUGACCACCUGGGAACACUGCGUGCCGUU